This 82-nucleotide transfer RNA is filed under the name Echinostoma caproni. It matches the Rfam family "tRNA". From Rfam's summary of the family: Transfer RNA (tRNA) molecules are approximately 80 nucleotides in length. Their secondary structure includes four short double-helical elements and three loops (D, anti-codon, and T loops). Lineage: Eukaryota; Metazoa; Platyhelminthes; Trematoda; Plagiorchiida; Echinostomatidae. The record is from Rfam by way of RNAcentral.
GACCUUGUAGCUCAGUUGGCAGAGCGUGCGCGUACAAAACGUAGGCGGCGUCCAUGCGUGGGUUCGAGUCCCACCGAGGCUA